AAAAAGAAUGUUCACAAGGUCUUAAUUUUAAUUUCAAUGUCAACUAAGAAAAUGAAAAAAGAAAGGAACAAAAAGAAGCAACAUCCUCUGCUACUGUAUAUAUCAAAGAGAAAGUGUCAGAGAGGAUGGUUUAGGCUAAGGUAGAUCGCUGAUGGUCAUAAAAUUUCUCUCGUGUAUUUUAGCAAGGCUACUAACAUGUACUUUAUGUGAAAACACCAUGACCCAAUCAGAAACACCAACCGAUACACCAGCGAAGCUCGUUACACCACAAGAAGGAAUCGGCCGUUCUACUCCUCCUACUUAGCAAUCGAACUUUGGGAUCAGCUAUUGGAUUAAAGUGGUAUAUAGUUGAUAAGAUGAGAGGUUGUGGAUUGGAGCUAAAAGAGAUUAUAUGGAAGCAAAAGAUGUGCAGUUGAAGACCUGGAACAGUUCAGCCUUAGUUACUGCAAUUGCAGUCCUCAAGUCGCGAUCGCGGUCAGUCAAAGAUGGUCAGGAUAGUGCGAUUGUGGAACACACCCGUAGUCACGUUGGCCAUGAUCUCGGCUAAGCUGGAGUAUGACCCGGGGCAGUUUUGUAAUUUCUCUUGGAUGAAUCCCAAACCUCAUAUAGGCAAAAACCCUUUCUUCUUUGGGUAUUGUUUACCUCAUAGACAAUUUUGAAUUAGAAGCAAGAAACCCUAAUUGAGCAAGUAUGUUACUAAUUGUGGAGGCUAGAUUUCUUAGUAUUUUUGUGAAGAAUGAAUUCUUUGGAUAAUCCUUAUGGUAUAUCUUUCUUUA
Molecule: long non-coding RNA, 776 nt
Organism: Capsicum annuum
Lineage: Eukaryota; Viridiplantae; Streptophyta; Magnoliopsida; Solanales; Solanaceae
Exons: 3
Source: RefSeq, a predicted model, not a curated record